UGGGGAAUAUUGCACAAUGGGCGCAAGCCUGAUGCAGCCAUGCCGCGUGUGUGAAGAAGGCCUUCGGGUUGUAAAGCACUUUCAGCGAGGAGGAAGGUGGUGGACUUAAUACGUUCAUCAAUUGACGUUACUCGCAGAAGAAGCACCGGCUAACUCCGUGCCAGCAGCCGCGGUAAUACGGAGGGUGCAAGCGUUAAUCGGAAUUACUGGGCGUAAAAGCGCACGCAGGCGGUUUGUUAAGUCAGAUGUGAAAUCCCCGGGCUCAACCUGGGAACUGCAUUUGAAACUGGCAAGCUAGAGUCUCGUAGAGGGGGGUAGAAUUCCAGGUGUAGCGGUGAAAUGCGUAGAGAUCUGGAGGAAUACCGGUGGCGAAGGCGGCCCCCUGGACGAAGACUGACGCUCAGGUGCGAAAGCGUGGGGAGCAAAACAGGAUUAGAUACCCUGGUAGUCCACGCUGUAAAACGAUGUCGAUUUUGGAGGUUGUGCCCUUGAGGCGUGGCUUCCGGAGCUAACGCGUUAAAUCGACCGCCUGGGGAGUACGGCCGCAAGGUUAAAAACUCAAAAUG
This 566-nucleotide ribosomal RNA is filed under the name uncultured bacterium. RNAcentral's name for it is "partial 16S ribosomal RNA". It matches the Rfam family "Bacterial small subunit ribosomal RNA", at positions 355 to 908 of the family's 1533-position model. The record is from RNAcentral.